Gossypium raimondii (Peruvian cotton) is the source of this 107-nucleotide small nucleolar RNA. It matches the Rfam family "Plant small nucleolar RNA R71". From Rfam's summary of the family: R71 is a member of the C/D box family of snoRNAs containing the C (UGAUGA) and D (CUGA) box motifs. Multiple nearly identical copies of this snoRNA have been identified in Arabidopsis, and it is thought to function as a 2'-O-ribose methylation guide for 18S ribosomal RNA. The record is from Rfam. NCBI's taxonomy places the organism in Eukaryota, Viridiplantae, Streptophyta, Magnoliopsida, Malvales, Malvaceae.
AAUCCAUGCAUCAGACAUUUCUGAAGUAAUUCUUUGAAUCGUUCUCAUGCUUCAUAUAGAGUUUCAUCCUCCGAUUGCUGAAAAGAUGUGAUGACAUUUCUAAACUU